GGCCUAUUAUUACCACUAUUAUUGAUAUUAUUUAAUAUUUAAAUAUUUAAUCAUUAAUUAACUUUUGUAAUUUAUACUAAUAAUUAUUCUCUUCUCUCUUUUUUAGUGUCGAUUGUCGUCUGAUUAUUGUAAGUGAUAAUUCUACACAUCCUGAUAAGUCAGAAAUCGCUGAUGCAACUGAAAGCAUUUUAAUUUGUAUACUCAUGUUCUCGCCUCUUUCAUUGUGUGUUAACAGCAGUUAAAUACACCCAAAGGCUCUUUUAAGAGCCCAGGACAGAACGUUUUUGGCUUUGUAAGUAUGUUUGAUUUUUUUCUUCUUUAAGACACAUCCUGCAUCUCCGAUUUGUCAUGCUCCUCAUAACCUUAGUCAAAAAACACUGAUGAAACUGAAUGCAUUUUAAUUUAUAUCAUAUUCAGACAUGUUUCUAUCUCCUUGUGUUUCUUACUUGUUAUUUGGUUACUAGUAUUAGUAAUACCAAUAAUAAUAAUAACAGUUAUUAUGUUUUGUUAUUAUUUUAGUUUAAUUAUAAUUAAUAAUAAUACAAAUAAUAAUAAUAAUUAGCAUAUUACUAUUGUUAUUAUUAUGAUUAUAUUCAAGAAUGACCAUGUAUUUUACUGACUUUAUAUGGUUUCUUACUUGUUAUUGUAAAGUUUUAUCAGAUGCACUGCUGCCUGCAGUCUUCUCAUCUUCAUGCACUUUCAGAAGCUAUUAAUAGUUCAAGAGCCUUAAUUAACUUUGUAAUUUAUACUAUAAAUAAUUAUUCUCUUGUCUCUCUUUUUCAGUGUCAAUUGUCGUCUGAUUAUUGUAAGUUAUAAUUCUACACAUUCUGAGAAGUCAGAAAUCGCUGAUGCAACUGAAAGCAUUUUAAUUUGUAUACUCAUGUUCUCUCCUCUUUCAUUGUGUGUUAACAGCAGUUAAAUACACCCAAAGGCUCUUUUAAGAGCCCAGCACAGAACGUUUUUGGCUUUGUAAGUAUAUGUAUGACUAACAAUCAGACACAUUUGGGUUUCUUUAAAUAACUGAAGAUUUUUUUUUCUUCUUUAAAAUGCAUCUUGCAUCUAUGAUUUGUCAUGUUCAUCAUAACCUUAGUCAAAAACCACUGAUGAAACUGAAUGCAUUUUAAAUUAUAUUCAGACAUUUCUACUUUCUCUCCCCUUUCCUUGUGUCAACAGCAGCUACGCAAGUCAUCUUAGACUUUCAGCCUCUUGACCCAUCAGUGCCAAAGCUUCAGCAAGCACUGUGUGCUCAGCUGCUCUGGUCUCCACAGUUCAGGGAAAGAUGGACACAAAAAAUAUGCAGUGGUGGAAUUUACAGAGGACAGUGCAGUGGAACUAGUCCCAACCUCGUGGCUGGAAGAGACCAAAGAGGGAACGUUCUGUUACUGGACAUUUGGAAACAUAAGGCAGCUUGUAAAAAACUGCACAAUGCCAGACAAAGGAAAGUGGAGGCGGUGUCUAAUAAAAAAAAUGUGGCUAAGAACAG
Megalobrama amblycephala (Wuchang bream) is the source of this 1483-nucleotide long non-coding RNA. RefSeq lists it as uncharacterized. The record is from RefSeq and is a predicted model, not a curated record. Lineage: Eukaryota; Metazoa; Chordata; Actinopteri; Cypriniformes; Xenocyprididae. The transcript is spliced from 4 exons.